RNAcentral lists this ribosomal RNA (163 nucleotides) under uncultured bacterium. RNAcentral describes it as "partial 16S rRNA". It matches the Rfam family "Bacterial small subunit ribosomal RNA", at positions 355 to 510 of the family's 1533-position model. The record is from RNAcentral.
UAGGGAAUCUUCGGCAAUGGACGAAAGUCUGACCGAGCAACGCCGCGUGAGUGAAGAAGGCUUUCGGAUCGUAGAACUCUGUUGGUAGAGAAGAACGUUGGUGAGAGUGGAAAGCUCAUCAAGUGACGGUAACUACCCAGAAAGGGCGGCUAACUACGUGCCA